CAUAGAGAAACAAGAGGCAGAGGGAGAGAGAGAAGACACUGGUGGUCAACUGGUAUCUUGUGUGAAGUGACCCACACACAGGGAAGAGCCCUGCAGCCCUCAUGGUCAGACUCCUGCAAAAAUCAACAGUGGAGUGGAGGUGAGGGUGGAUGGAGGAGCUCCGCUGCUGCCUUGUUGCCUGGAUCUCCUGGCUGUUGGCAAAGUAUCACACCACCUUAAAGCUGGGCGCUAGAGGUGUAGUGCCAGACACACAGGUGAAACGUGCAGCAAAGAGCAGUUGGGAUCUUGCUGAGAAGAAGCAGGUGGACAGACGGAUGGUUGGAUGCGGCUGCUGUGGGUGUUUCUCUGGCAGUGUCUUAGCUGGUUGUUGUGAGGAGUGAGAACGAAGCAAUCAGCAAGUAUACUGCCGCAGAAAUUCUUCGCAAUAAGAAGCCCUGGGAUCACAGCCCUCAUGGGGCAAAACAAGACGGAGGAGAAAACAUUUGCUUUGCAGCGAACGGCAAAGAAGAUGCAGCGGCUUCUGUAAGUUUAAACCUGAUACAGAAUUAACUGAAGACAGAUGGUCUGAAAGCAAGGCCUUUUUCUUCACAGCCUUGACAACAUUUGCAAAAGGAUCAAAGAAUCAAACUUCUACAGCGUUUAUUGCACUUUCACGAUCCUCUGCUGCCAUCUUGUGACUGAAAGCAACCUCCAAGCAUGCUUUUGAUCAUCCUUCACUGCACCAAUUAGCAAAAUCUACAUUGAAUAAUUUAGUUUUCUUUGAGACAAUGUUAAAUCUCUUUUAUCUGAAAAAUAUAGCUUGAUUUAAUAUGCCUAGAGUUUUUUUUAUUUUUAAGUUUCAAAUGCAUGUUUUCUUGUCACUAAAUCUGAUAUUUUGCAUCAAAAAUAAUAUUUCAUUUUCCUGAAUGCUAACAAAUUAAAGUUAAUAGUCUUAAUGUACCCACUGCUACCUAAUAAAUAUAACAUUACGACUGAUUCAUCA
Long non-coding RNA from Melanotaenia boesemani (Boeseman's rainbowfish), 982 nucleotides. RefSeq lists it as uncharacterized. The transcript has 2 exons. The record is from RefSeq and is a predicted model, not a curated record. NCBI's taxonomy places the organism in Eukaryota, Metazoa, Chordata, Actinopteri, Atheriniformes, Melanotaeniidae.